This 400-nucleotide ribosomal RNA is filed under the name uncultured bacterium. Its description in RNAcentral is "bacterial SSU rRNA". It matches the Rfam family "Bacterial small subunit ribosomal RNA", at positions 361 to 773 of the family's 1533-position model. The record is from RNAcentral.
AUAUUGCACAAUGGGCGAAAGCCUGAUGCAGCGACGCCGCGUGGGGGAUGACGGCCUUCGGGUUGUAAACCUCUUUCAGUAGGGAAGAAGCGAAAGUGACGGUACCUGCAGAAGAAGCGCCGGCUAACUACGAGCCAGCAGCCGCGGUAAUACGUAGGGCGCAAGCGUUGUCCGGAAUUAUUGGGCGUAAAGAGCUCGUAGGUGGCUUGUCGCGUCUGCCGUGAAAACCCGAGGCUCAACCUCGGGCGUGCGGUGGGUACGGGCAGGCUAGAGUGUGGUAGGGGAGACUGGAACUCCUAGUGUAGCGGUGAAAUGCGCAGAUAUCAGGAAGAACACCGAUGGCGAAGGCAGGUCUCUGGGCCAUUACUGACACUGAGGAGCGAAAGCAUGGGGAGCGAAC